GUGCCCGUAGCUCAGUCGGUAGAGCACGAGACUUUUAAUCUUGGGGUCGUGGGUUCGAAUCCCACCGGGCACACCA
This 76-nucleotide transfer RNA is filed under the name Plastoroseomonas hellenica. Its description in RNAcentral is "tRNA-Lys". It matches the Rfam family "tRNA". Rfam says of the family: Transfer RNA (tRNA) molecules are approximately 80 nucleotides in length. Their secondary structure includes four short double-helical elements and three loops (D, anti-codon, and T loops). Lineage: Bacteria; Pseudomonadati; Pseudomonadota; Alphaproteobacteria; Acetobacterales; Acetobacteraceae. The record is from RNAcentral.